GCAUUUAACUCAGAUGCUGAACGUGAAGGAUAACGUUGCGUCAGCAACGGCCCGAAGGGCGAGGCAAAGCCGAGUCAUCCUGCACGACCUACCA
RNAcentral lists this small RNA (94 nucleotides) under Klebsiella pneumoniae. RNAcentral describes it as "partial RtT sRNA". It matches the Rfam family "RtT RNA", at positions 45 to 130 of the family's 130-position model. From Rfam's summary of the family: This family represents a bacterial cis-regulatory element known as RtT RNA. The exact function of RtT is unknown although it is thought that it may be involved in changing the cellular response in relation to amino acid starvation. Lineage: Bacteria; Pseudomonadati; Pseudomonadota; Gammaproteobacteria; Enterobacterales; Enterobacteriaceae. The record is from RNAcentral.